RNAcentral lists this ribosomal RNA (719 nucleotides) under uncultured Staphylococcus sp. Its description in RNAcentral is "bacterial SSU rRNA". It matches the Rfam family "Bacterial small subunit ribosomal RNA", at positions 62 to 763 of the family's 1533-position model. Lineage: Bacteria; Bacillati; Bacillota; Bacilli; Caryophanales; Staphylococcaceae. The record is from RNAcentral.
UCGAGCGAACGGACGAGAAGCUUGCUUCUCUGAUGUUAGCGGCGGACGGGUGAGUAACACGUGGAUAACCUACCUAUAAGACUGGGAUAACUUCGGGAAACCGGAGCUAAUACCGGAUAAUAUUUUGAACCGCAUGGUUCAAAAGUGAAAGACGGUCUUGCUGUCACUUAUAGAUGGAUCCGCGCUGCAUUAGCUAGUUGGUAAGGUAACGGCUUACCAAGGCAACGAUGCAUAGCCGACCUGAGAGGGUGAUCGGCCACACUGGAACUGAGACACGGUCCAGACUCCUACGGGAGGCAGCAGUAGGGAAUCUUCCGCAAUGGGCGAAAGCCUGACGGAGCAACGCCGCGUGAGUGAUGAAGGUCUUCGGAUCGUAAAACUCUGUUAUUAGGGAAGAACAUAUGUGUAAGUAACUGUGCACAUCUUGACGGUACCUAAUCAGAAAGCCACGGCUAACUACGUGCCAGCAGCCGCGGUAAUACGUAGGUGGCAAGCGUUAUCCGGAAUUAUUGGGCGUAAAGCGCGCGUAGGCGGCUUUUUAAGUCUGAUGUGAAAGCCCACGGCUCAACCGUGGAGGGUCAUUGGAAACUGGAAAACUUGAGUGCAGAAGAGGAAAGUGGAAUUCCAUGUGUAGCGGUGAAAUGCGCAGAGAUAUGGAGGAACACCAGUGGCGAAGGCGACUUUCUGGUCUGUAACUGACGCUGAUGUGCGAAAGCGUG